RNAcentral lists this ribosomal RNA (405 nucleotides) under Lithodesmium sp. RNAcentral's name for it is "partial large subunit ribosomal RNA". It matches the Rfam family "Bacterial large subunit ribosomal RNA", at positions 2081 to 2485 of the family's 2925-position model. Lineage: Eukaryota; Bacillariophyta; Thalassiosirophyceae; Lithodesmiales; Lithodesmiaceae. The record is from RNAcentral.
CAAAAAGACCCUAUGAAGCUUUACUGUAGCUUGAUAUUGGCUCCGGGCUUUGUUUGCGCAGGAUAGGUGGGAGGCGUUGAAACUCUUCUUGUGGGAAGGGUGGAGCCGUUGGUGAGAUACCACUCUAACAAUGCUAGGAUUCUAACCCUACACCGUUAUCCGGUUAGGGGACAGUUUCAGGUGGUCAGUUUGACUGGGGCGGUCGCCUCCCAAAAGGUAACGGAGGCGUGCAAAGGUUUCCUCAGACUGGUCGGAAAUCAGUCGUAGAGUGUAAAGGCAUAAGGAAGCUUGAUUGUGAGACCUACAAGUCGAACAAAGACGAAAGUCGGCCUUAGUGAUCCGACGGUUCCGAGUGGAAGGGCCGUCGCUCAACGGAUAAAAGUUACUCUAGGGAUAACAGGCUGA